CACGGUAGGGUGCGAGCGUUUGUCCGGAAUUAUUGGGCGUAAAGAGCUCGUAGGCGGUGUGUCGCGUCGGCCGUGAAAACCUGCAGCUUAACUGUGGGCUUGCGGUCGAUACGGGCAUCACUGGAGUCGGCAGGGGAGACUGGAAUUCCUGGUGUAGCGGUGAAAUGCGCAGAUACAGGAGGAACACCGGUGGCGAAGGCGGGGCUCUGGGCCGAUACUGACGCUGGAGGAGCGAAAGCGUGGGAGCGAACAGG
This 254-nucleotide ribosomal RNA is filed under the name uncultured bacterium. RNAcentral's name for it is "partial 16S ribosomal RNA". It matches the Rfam family "Bacterial small subunit ribosomal RNA", at positions 524 to 776 of the family's 1533-position model. The record is from RNAcentral.